GGGGUAAAAGCCUACCAAGGAGACGAUCCGUAGCUGGUCUGAGAGGACGGCCAGACAACACUGGAAACUGAG
This 72-nucleotide ribosomal RNA is filed under the name uncultured bacterium. Its description in RNAcentral is "partial 16S ribosomal RNA". The record is from RNAcentral.